CACAACAGAUCGUCUGUUUCCUUCUCCUUUGGCCAUCUCUCUCUGAAGACUUGCGAAGAAAGCGAUGAUCUCAGUGCUUCGGUUAAAUCGUUACAAGAAGAUAGACCAAAAGAAGGUGGAUCAUCGAUUCUCCUCUCUGUCUUUCUUGCAGACAGAAACUUGACCAAGAAGCUGAAGGUGGAUGUAAGGCAAUAGAAGAAGCUUGCGUGAACGAGAAGCAUCUCAAGAACAUCUAUGUGGAGAGCAGGCUACCAAAAUUGAGCAGCUGACUAGUCUGGUACAUAUAUAUCUAACACAGAUAUAAGUUGGGGUUUUCAGGUGGUGGAUUGUUUAGGAAGAAAGGGUUUAAAGGAUCAUUUGUGGAUGCGGGUCAGUCUGCGAUGGUGUCUUAAAGGUGUCAUAAUGGUAUGUGUGUGCAUUAAAUUAUGUUGGUUUUGUGGUUCUUCGUAUAGGAAGAAGUAAUAAGAACUAAGUCUGAUGGGUUCAAACCUGACGGAAGCAAAAAUGGCUACUUCGUGAGGGAGAGUUUGAGUCAAUUGAGAAACAGCAUCAACAAGUCUUCUUUAGUCAUGUCGUGUAUCGAAUUUUGGAAGGGAUUCCUGAUGAUACUUAAGAUAUUGAUCAUAUCGUGAAACAACUCCAUCGCCAAACCAAAAUGCCUAAACUUAACCAAUCCAUGUAAGAGAGGACUCAAAAAAGUUCUCACUUCAGGCAGUAAACUAACUUUCGUCAUCAUCAUCUUAAACACUAAAACCCCCCAUAUAAAGCUCUCUCCUACUUCAAACAUAAUGCUGAAAUCAACAAAUCAAAACUCGACCUUAAACUAAGCUUACAUUUCUCAUAACAACUAAAAAGCGCAUC
Molecule: long non-coding RNA, 861 nt
Organism: Camelina sativa (false flax)
Lineage: Eukaryota; Viridiplantae; Streptophyta; Magnoliopsida; Brassicales; Brassicaceae
Source: RefSeq, a predicted model, not a curated record